GAAGUAAGGUGUCCAAGUGAAAGCUGCUAACUUAUCACUAUAGUGGUUAAAUUCCAUUUAUACUUCU
RNAcentral lists this transfer RNA (67 nucleotides) under Brephallus tramlapensis. RNAcentral's name for it is "tRNA-Ser". Lineage: Eukaryota; Metazoa; Arthropoda; Insecta; Blattodea; Blaberidae. The record is from RNAcentral.